RNAcentral lists this small nuclear RNA (24 nucleotides) under Arabidopsis thaliana (thale cress). RNAcentral's name for it is "snRNA_06874". The record is from RNAcentral. Lineage: Eukaryota; Viridiplantae; Streptophyta; Magnoliopsida; Brassicales; Brassicaceae.
CCGUGGCGGCUAGGGCUUCCCAUU